RNAcentral lists this ribosomal RNA (54 nucleotides) under Fusarium solani. Its description in RNAcentral is "partial 18S ribosomal RNA". It matches the Rfam family "Eukaryotic small subunit ribosomal RNA", at positions 1778 to 1831 of the family's 1831-position model. Lineage: Eukaryota; Fungi; Ascomycota; Sordariomycetes; Hypocreales; Nectriaceae. The record is from RNAcentral.
GGAAGUAAAAGUCGUAACAAGGUCUCCGUUGGUAAACCAGCGGAGGGAUCAUUA